This 465-nucleotide ribosomal RNA is filed under the name uncultured bacterium. Its description in RNAcentral is "partial 16S ribosomal RNA". It matches the Rfam family "Bacterial small subunit ribosomal RNA", at positions 28 to 507 of the family's 1533-position model. The record is from RNAcentral.
GACGAACGCUGGCGGCGUGCUUAACACAUGCCAGUCGAACGGAAAGGCCCCUUUCUUGGUCCUCUAGUGUCGGACGGGGGAGUAACACUUAAGUAACCUUCCCUUAACUUCGGGAUAACGUCAGGAAACUGGGGCCAAUACUGGUUAGGAAUCCUUUCUUCAUGGGGGGGGUUGGAAAGCGUCGGCGGGUUUUGAUGGACUCACUACUUAUCAGCUUGUUGCUUGGGUAGUGGCUUACCAAGGUUAUGUCGGGUAGCCGCACUGCGAGGGCGACCGGCCACAUAGACACUGAGAGAAGGCCCAGACACCUAAGGGAGGGAGAAGUGCGGAAUAUUGAACGAUGGGCGGCAGGCGGAUGAAGAAACGCCGCGGGCGGGAUGACGGUCUUAGGGUUGAAAACCGCAUUCAGAAGGGGCGAAGCUUGUGGUGACGGUACCUGAAGAAGAAGCCCCGGCUAACUACGUG